This is a non-coding RNA of Podarcis lilfordi (Lilford's wall lizard), 74 nucleotides long. The record is from the annotation of a GenBank genome assembly. Lineage: Eukaryota; Metazoa; Chordata; Lepidosauria; Squamata; Lacertidae.
GACUGGAUAGCUCAGUUGGUUAGAGUGUGGUGCUGAUAACGCCAAGGUUGCAGGUUUGAUCCCCAUAUGGGACA